This 409-nucleotide ribosomal RNA is filed under the name bacterium. RNAcentral's name for it is "partial 16S ribosomal RNA". It matches the Rfam family "Bacterial small subunit ribosomal RNA", at positions 355 to 776 of the family's 1533-position model. The record is from RNAcentral.
UGGGGAAUAUUGCACAAUGGGGGAAACCCUGAUGCAGCAACGCCGCGUGCGGGAUGACGGCCUUCGGGUUGUAAACCGCUUUCAGCCAUGACGAAGCUUUUGUGACGGUAGUGGCAGAAGAAGCACCGGCUAACUACGUGCCAGCAGCCGCGGUGAUACGUAGGGUGCGAGCGUUGUCCGGAACUAUUGGGCGUAAAGAGCUUGUAGGCGGUUUGUCGCGUUGAAAGUGUAAACUCAGUGCUUAACGCUGAGCCUGCUUUCGAUACGGGCUGACUAGAGGAAGGUAGGGGAGAAUGGAAUUGCCGGUGGAGCGGUGGAAUGCGCAGAUAUCGGGAGGAGCACCAGUGGCGAAGGCGGUUCUCUGGACCUUUCCUGACGCUGAGAAGCGAAAGCGUGGGUAGCAAACAGG